CCUACGGGAGGCUGCAGUGGGGAAUAUUGGACAAUGGGCGAAAGCCUGAUCCAGCCAUGCCGCGUGUGUGAAGAAGGCCUUCGGGUUGUAAAGCACUUUCAGUGGGGAAGAAAGCCUUGGGGCUAAUACCCUCGAGGAAGGACAUCACCCACAGAAGAAGCACCGGCUAACUCCGUGCCAGCAGCCGCGGUAAUACGGAGGGUGCGAGCGUUAAUCGGAAUUACUGGGCGUAAAGCGCGCGUAGGCGGUCUGAUAAGCCGGUUGUGAAAGCCCCGGGCUCAACCUGGGAACGGCAUCCGGAACUGUCAGGCUAGAGUGCAGGAGAGGAAGGUAGAAUUCCCGGUGUAGCGGUGAAAUGCGUAAAGAUCGGGAGGAAUACCAGUGGCGAAGGCGGCCUUCUGGACUGACACUGACGCUGAGGUGCGAAAGCGUGGGUAGCAAACAGGAUUAGAUACCCGGGUAGUC
Molecule: ribosomal RNA, 465 nt
Filed under: Vreelandella stevensii
Lineage: Bacteria; Pseudomonadati; Pseudomonadota; Gammaproteobacteria; Oceanospirillales; Halomonadaceae
Description: partial 16S ribosomal RNA
Rfam family: Bacterial small subunit ribosomal RNA
Source: RNAcentral